AUUGAACGCUGGCGGAAUGCUUUACACAUGCAAGUCGAACGGCAGCACGGGGCAACCUGGUGGCGAGUGGCGAACGGGUGAGUAAUACAUCGGAACGUGCCCAAUCGUGGGGGAUAACGUAGCGAAAGUUACGCUAAUACCGCAUACGAUCUACGGAUGAAAGCGGGGGAUCGCAAGACCUCGCGCGAAUGGAGCGGCCGAUGUCAGAUUAGGUAGUUGGUGGGGUAAAGGCUCACCAAGCCGACGAUCUGUAGCUGGUCUGAGAGGACGACCAGCCACACUGGGACUGAGACACGGCCCAGACUCCUACGGGAGGCAGCAGUGGGGGAAUUUUGGACAAUGGGCGCAAGCCUGAUCCAGCCAUUCCGCGUGCAGGAUGAAGGCCUUGGUGUAACUG
This 397-nucleotide ribosomal RNA is filed under the name uncultured bacterium. Its description in RNAcentral is "bacterial SSU rRNA". It matches the Rfam family "Bacterial small subunit ribosomal RNA", at positions 30 to 432 of the family's 1533-position model. The record is from RNAcentral.